This 87-nucleotide transfer RNA is filed under the name Candidatus Odinarchaeum yellowstonii. RNAcentral's name for it is "tRNA-Ser". It matches the Rfam family "tRNA". From Rfam's summary of the family: Transfer RNA (tRNA) molecules are approximately 80 nucleotides in length. Their secondary structure includes four short double-helical elements and three loops (D, anti-codon, and T loops). The record is from RNAcentral. Lineage: Archaea; Promethearchaeati; Candidatus Odinarchaeota; Candidatus Odinarchaeia; Candidatus Odinarchaeales; Candidatus Odinarchaeaceae.
GCCGGGGUAGCCAAGCGGUUACGGCGCUGGCCUCGAGAGCCAGUGGUGCUUUGCACCUCGCGGGUUCAAAUCCUGCCCCCGGCGCCA